RNAcentral lists this long non-coding RNA (653 nucleotides) under Helianthus annuus (common sunflower). RNAcentral describes it as "sRNA HanXRQr2_Chr16g0763821". Lineage: Eukaryota; Viridiplantae; Streptophyta; Magnoliopsida; Asterales; Asteraceae. The record is from RNAcentral.
GCAUGUGUGUGUGUACGAGCAGAGGAGAAGAAAGGAAAGGGGAGCCCUUCUCAAACCCUAAGCAACAAAUUGGAAGGAUUCUGGCCGAAAUCGAACCUGCAUGAACCUUAAUAGUGAUAAUCUAAGCAAGAUGUAACCAAGGAAACAAUGUUUAUGAGAACGUGUCAAGGAGAGCUCAAGCACAGGAGGAUAACGGGUCAAGAUAAGGCAAGGUGACAAAUACACUUAUUGGAGUACUCAAGGUAAUGCAGGAAUGAGAACGACGGAUUCUCGUGGAAUGGAAGCUGAACUCGGAACAAGAGAAUCCGAGAGAAUAGUCGGAUAAAUCAAAGUUUACGUUGUCGAAUGUUAUACUAUUUAAUUAUAUGUGAAUUUAGUUGUACGAUGAUGUCAAUGACUAAUGGUUAAGUUGUAUGUGAUGCUCACAUGUACUACUCGGACUUCUUCUACCUUUAAGGAUGAUAAGCGGGCGUGGAUCGAGUCGAAGAGCAAGGAUUGUACGGAAAGAACGGCUACAUAGUUUGAAAUACGUAAUGCUUUGAAGCGUUAAUUUAAUGUAAAUAUUGUAAACCUCUUCCAGUAAAUGCUUAACAUUUUCGUAUUUGAGCUUUUAUGUAAGUAAUGUGUCUAAUAAAGAAAGAAAUUUCAAGGCU